RNAcentral lists this unclassified non-coding RNA (660 nucleotides) under Eudesme virescens. RNAcentral describes it as "ITS1". Lineage: Eukaryota; Phaeophyceae; Ectocarpales; Chordariaceae. The record is from RNAcentral.
CCGAGUUUGCCCCGAGCGCAAGUAAAAAACCUGCGAGAGAAGUAUUACUCUGCCCCCCCCCAACGUUUGUCUCUCUAUAUCCAUCCAUCGGUCUUCUUCUGGGCUGGAAGGAAGCCGUCGUGGCAGGCUCGAAGAACUCUCUUUCUACCAUUACAGGUGGGACGGGAGAUCGGAGGACUUGCUGCCCGGCAGGUUUUACACAGGACUACCACACGUAAGGUACGGAGCGGCAGGCGCUAGUUCGGGUCGUCAAGUAGUGUUCAAGCUGGGUCCAGCGGUCUCCCCACCGGGGGGAAUCCCGCGGCCUUGCGGGGCACGGCGGUCUUCACUUCAAUGCGGUUGUUUUGCGCCGGUGGGAACGAAGAAGAACUUGCUACAACUCGACUGCUUUUGGUUGGCCCGUUGAAGAGAAGAAAGGAGGGAAAGGAGGAUCCACGACGAACUACCGGCGGCAGCGGCAGAGUGUGAAAAGAACCCCGUGAAAGAAAAUCGUUAUGCGAUGUCGGGCGAGAGGCGUCUCGCCCAGCUUUGCUAAGCUCGAACCAAAGCGUACCCACUAUUCAACCCCAAACAAACUCUGAAUCUGAACUCAAAAGGAGGCCGGCAACGCGUCGCUUUGUCGACUGCCGCGCGCGCCUUCUCAACCUUUAACGUUGUAAA